AUCACUUCUCAGCCUUUUGGCUAAGAUCAAGUGUAGUAUCAAGUGUAGAAUUUAAGUAAAUGAAACCAGCCCUC
Non-coding RNA from Podarcis lilfordi (Lilford's wall lizard), 74 nucleotides. Lineage: Eukaryota; Metazoa; Chordata; Lepidosauria; Squamata; Lacertidae. The record is from the annotation of a GenBank genome assembly.